AUUGAACGCUGGCGGCAGGCCUAACACAUGCAAGUCGAGCGGAUGAAGGGAGCUUGCUCCUGGAUUCAGCGGCGGACGGGUGAGUAAUGCCUAGGAAUCUGCCUGGUAGUGGGGGAUAACGUCCGGAAACGGGCGCUAAUACCGCAUACGUCCUGAGGGAGAAGGUGGGGGAUCUUCGGACCUCACGCUAUCAGAUGAGCCUAGGUCGGAUUAGCUAGUUGGUGGGGUAAAGGCCUACCAAGGCGACGAUCCGUAACUGGUCUGAGAGGAUGAUCAGUCACACUGGAACUGAGACACGGUCCAGACUCCUACGGGAGGCAGCAGUGGGGAAUAUUGGACAAUGGGCGAAAGCCUGAUCCAGCCAUGCCGCGUGUGUGAAGAAGGUCUUCGGAUUGUAAAGCACUUUAAGUUGGGAGGAAGGGCAGUAAGUUAAUACCUUGCUGUUUUGACGUUACCAACAGAAUAAGCAACGGCUAACUUCGUG
Molecule: ribosomal RNA, 484 nt
Filed under: uncultured bacterium
Lineage: Bacteria
Description: partial 16S ribosomal RNA
Rfam family: Bacterial small subunit ribosomal RNA
Source: RNAcentral